Molecule: ribosomal RNA, 516 nt
Filed under: human intestinal firmicute CJ31
Lineage: Bacteria
Description: bacterial SSU rRNA
Rfam family: Bacterial small subunit ribosomal RNA
Source: RNAcentral
AGAGUUUGAUCCUGGCUCAGGAUGAACGCUGGCGGCGUGCUUAACACAUGCAAGUCGAACGGGGUGCCUAUGAUAGAGGAUUCGUCCAAUUGAUUAGGCUACCUAGUGGCGGACGGGUGAGUAACGCGUGAGUAACCUGCCUUGGAGUGGGGAAUAACAGUCCGAAAGGACUGCUAAUACCGCAUGAUGCAGCGAGGUCGCAUGGCCUUGCUGCCAAAGAUUUAUCGCUCUGAGAUGGACUCGCGUCUGAUUAGCUGGUUGGCGGGGUAACGGCCCACCAAGGCGACGAUCAGUAGCCGGACUGAGAGGUUGGCCGGCCACAUUGGGACUGAGACACGGCCCAGACUCCUACGGGAGGCAGCAGUGGGGAAUAUUGGGCAAUGGGCGCAAGCCUGACCCAGCAACGCCGCGUGAAGGAAGAAGGCUCUCGGGUUGUAAACUUCUUUUAUCAGGGACGAAAGAAAUGACGGUACCUGAUGAAUAAGCCACGGCUAACUACGUGCCAGCAGCCGCGGU